This 263-nucleotide long non-coding RNA is filed under the name Salvia miltiorrhiza (redroot sage). Its description in RNAcentral is "long non-coding RNA (SMIL_LNC013952)". Lineage: Eukaryota; Viridiplantae; Streptophyta; Magnoliopsida; Lamiales; Lamiaceae. The record is from RNAcentral.
GGAUAUUGGUUGAUGCUUAUUUACAGGUUUGGGGUCUGCCUAACCCCUCACCCUUCGGGUGUGUUUUUUUUUUUAAGAAAUUGUUAGACGACAUCCUGCACAUAAUGAGGAAGACUCUUCAAAAAACUAGGUAAUUUAAUUUAUGAAAUAAAUGAAUUAUAUUUAAUAAUAUUUAAUAUUAAAUCAAUGCAAAUAUUCAGUUUGUUAAUUUAAUAUUAUCCAUUAAUUUAUUCAUAAAAGGUGUCAACCUUUCUGCAUGUACA